This is a long non-coding RNA of Sycon ciliatum, 1754 nucleotides long. RefSeq lists it as uncharacterized. The transcript has 2 exons. The record is from RefSeq and is a predicted model, not a curated record. Lineage: Eukaryota; Metazoa; Porifera; Calcarea; Leucosolenida; Sycettidae.
GCCUCUCUGACACCGUGUACCACUGCCAGUCUUUUGGUUUAUUCCCGAGCAAAAUGCUAAGAUGCCAGGCUCUUCUCAGUUCUACUAGUUUUAUCGCGUUUUGAAUGAACCGUUUUGGGGCCAAGGGUAGUUCUGGCGCCAAAAAGAUCAUUUAAAGUUAAAUAGAUUCGUUUCGCCAAGACAGCAAGUAACGUGAGUUAGCGAGUUCCUUGUUAGCCACGCCACCAUUUCAUGCUAGCCCCGCAGUGUUGUAAGAUGAUGCUUACUAACUCCUUACACCAAGCACCUCAGCCGAGAAGAAUCGAGAUUGAUUUCAAUAUCACUGCAGUGUACUUACUGCCUUGUACGGAAUAGUUUGGUGCAGAACAUCAAACUUGCUCCAGUGGCGGAGGAGUACGACUCUUACCUGAGCCUGAGGCCAUCAUCGUUUGUCGGAGGUUGUAUACACACUGCUCAGAUGCGUCACAAAGCGCCGUAUCACGCUUGGAUUAGCGGCAUAUUGCUGGAACACGUGCACAGUUCCUGGGGUACUCUGUCGUCUGUUCUGCAUGGCCAUGCAGAAGUCCACGAUCACCGAUCCAAGAGCUAGUUACGGAGCAGAGGCAUGGGAAAGAGAGACCUACAGCAAUGUCUACAGUGUCCCAGGUCCUCCGUUCCCUGGCUGGUUGCAUCGACAGCCUGCCGUCUUACCGCCACGGACAGCUAGAGCGCCACAGUACACGCUAGUCUUGGACAUUGACGGCACGAUGACCUACACGUCUCGUUGCGGCCAAGAUCGCGAUGACGUGGGGAGGUUAAAGGACAGAGCUGGCAAAUGUCUCUAUGUGUAUGACCGACCGUUUCUAAAGGAGUUCCUGAAGCGCGUGGCGCGCAAGUACGAACUCAUUGUGUACACAGCUGCAGCUCAAAGCUAUGCAGAGGGAAUCCUAACUCAUCUGAACCUACAACAAGACGAGCCUGUUUUCAACCUCAAGUCGAUACUGCACAGAGAUCAUUGUCUCCUGAAAGGUGGCUACAAAAUCAAAUGUCUAGCCAAAGUGGGAAGAGACAUGAGCAAGACGAUCUUCCUGGAAGACAAUCAGCGGAACGCUGCCUACAACUGGCCAAAUGUCAUCUACGUCAAUGAGUGGUCAGGAGCGCCAGAUGACAAUACACUCGAGCCACUCUUACCAUUCUUGGAGGCCAUAGUGGAUUUCCAACACAAUGAUGUCCGCCCAGUAAUUCAGCAUUACGGGCCAAUUAGCACAGUGUAUCGACUCAAAGAGGAUGGCUACUGGGACCACUGAACCAGAUCGCUCACGAUCACGACUGAGUACAUUCUCGACGAGCUCUGCGAAUCGUGGUGUUUUCAUGUCCGGAUUAGUUUGAGAAGGCAAUCACCACCACAACUUUACAAGGAGCAUGUUGGUCUGGUUCAUCCUUCAGAGUCUCCAAGGACACCUAUUCCUAGCGCCAGUGGCAGAGCAUACCAUACGGUUACCCCCCCCCCCCCCCCCGGAUAGGAGAGCCCAUGUGCACAUCACGUGAUACGUAUUUCGAAUACGAAGUAUUCCAGUGUCCUCACUGCCCCUCACACUGUUACAGCUAUCAAUGAACCCUAAAAACCACUGUCUUGGUGUGAAUACCUGUAUCUACAGCACGCUGCAAGUUUCGAUUUGGUAUUAGAUAAGCCUUGUUUGUUCAAAUAUGUUGUUGGUUUGAGACCCCAACGAUCGAAUUCGAUCGUUUGGUAUACAGUGACACUAAAAUAUUUA